UACGUAGGGGGCAAGCGUUGUCCGGAUUUAUUGGGCGUAAAGAGCUCGUAGGCGGUUCCGUAAGUCGUGGAGUCAAAUCUCUGGGCUCAACCCAGAAUCGCUUCCGAUACUGCGGUGACUGGAGUCCGGUAGGGGAGUGUGGAAUUCCUGGUGUAGCGGUGAAAUGCGCAGAUAUCGGGAAGAACACCCGUGGCGAAGGCGGCUCUCUGGGACGGUACUGACGCUGAGACGCGAAAGCGUGGGGAGCGAACAGG
This 254-nucleotide ribosomal RNA is filed under the name uncultured bacterium. Its description in RNAcentral is "partial 16S ribosomal RNA". It matches the Rfam family "Bacterial small subunit ribosomal RNA", at positions 524 to 776 of the family's 1533-position model. The record is from RNAcentral.